Molecule: ribosomal RNA, 380 nt
Filed under: uncultured eukaryote
Lineage: Eukaryota
Description: partial 18S ribosomal RNA
Rfam family: Eukaryotic small subunit ribosomal RNA
Source: RNAcentral
CAAUAGCGUAUAUUAAAGUUGUUGCGGUUAAAAAGCUCGUAGUUGGAUUUCUGCCGAGGACGACCGGUCCGCCCUCCGGGUGAGUAUCUGGCUCGGCCUGGGCAUCUUCUUGGAGAACGUAGCUGCACUUGGCUGUGUGGUGCGGUAUUCAGGACUUUUACUUUGAGGAAAUUAGAGUGUUUCAAGCAGGCACACGCCUUGAAUACAUUAGCAUGGAAUAAUAAGAUAGGACCUCGGUUCUAUUUUGUUGGUUUCUAGAUCUGAGGUAAUGAUUAAUAGGGAUAGUUGGGGGCAUUCGUAUUUAACUGUCAGAGGUGAAAUUCUUGGAUUUGUUAAAGACGGGCUACUGCGAAAGCAUUUGCCAAGGAUGUUUUCAUUGA